Molecule: ribosomal RNA, 393 nt
Filed under: uncultured bacterium
Lineage: Bacteria
Description: partial 16S ribosomal RNA
Rfam family: Bacterial small subunit ribosomal RNA
Source: RNAcentral
AUACGGAGGAUCCGAGCGUUAUCCGGAUUUAUUGGGUUUAAAGGGAGCGUAGGCGGACGCUUAAGUCAGUUGUGAAAGUUUGCGGCUCAACCGUAAAAUUGCAGUUGAUACUGGGUGUCUUGAGUACAGUAGAGGCAGGCGGAAUUCGUGGUGUAGCGGUGAAAUGCUUAGAUAUCACGAAGAACUCCGAUUGCGAAGGCAGCCUGCUGGACUGUAACUGACGCUGAUGCUCGAAAGUGUGGGUAUCAAACAGGAUUAGAUACCCUGGUAGUCCACACAGUAAACGAUGAAUACUCGCUGUUUGCGAUAUACAGUAAGCGGCCAAGCGAAAGCGUUAAGUAUUCCACCUGGGGAGUACGCCGGCAACGGUGAAACUCAAAUGAAUUGACGGGG